This 250-nucleotide ribosomal RNA is filed under the name uncultured bacterium. RNAcentral's name for it is "partial 16S ribosomal RNA". It matches the Rfam family "Bacterial small subunit ribosomal RNA", at positions 524 to 776 of the family's 1533-position model. The record is from RNAcentral.
UACGUAGGGUGCAAGCGUUAAUCGGAAUUACUGGGCGUAAAGCGUGCGCAGGCGGUUAUGCAAGACAGAGGUGAAAUCCCCGGGCUCAACCUGGGAACUGCCUUUGUGACUGCAUAGCUAGAGUACGGCAGAGGGGGAUGGAAUUCCGCGUGUAGCAGUGAAAUGCGUAGAUAUGCGGAGGAACACCGAUGGAGGCAAUCCCCUGGGCCUGUACUGACGCUCAUGCACGAAAGCGUGGGGAGCAAACAGG